GAAAGAUAUAUAUAUAUAGAUAUAGAUAUUUUAAAAUUGCAUUACCGCCUGGCUUUAUUGCAUCAGGAUAAUACAGUGGGGUUGGAACGGGCGGGGGGGAGCGGGAGGGAAAAAUUAAAUAACCCUUACUCAAACCCUAUCAAUAUUUUCCCCCCUCCCCCCCCCCUCUAGGUUCUCCUCUUUUCUUUCCUUCUCCCACCCCCACCCCCCCAACUCUUUAAUUGGGAUGACUGUUAGCCCUUCUUUAAAUUUUUAUUUCUCCCCUUUUCCUCAACCACCCCCAGCCUCCGAAAGCCUUUGAUUAGGAUGAUUAUUAAUCCUUUUUCAUUUUUUAUUAUUAUCUCCUCUCCUCUUUCCCUCCCCCCUCCUAAGUCUUUGAUUAGGAGGAUUAUUAGUCCUUUUUAAUUGUAUUAUUUUUUCUCUUUCCCCUCUCCCCUCUCCUAGGUCUUUGAUUAGGAUGAUUAUUAGUCCUUCUUAAUUUUUAUUGUUCUCUCCUCUUCUCUUCCCCUCUUCCAUCCCCAACCUUCAAAGUCUUUGAAUAUGAUUAUUAUUGGUCCUUUUAAAUUCUGUAUUAUCUUCUCUCCUCUUUCCUUCCCACCCCCGCCCCCCCCCAAAGUCUUUGAUGAUGAUAAUGAUUAGUCAUUUUUCAUUUUUUAUUAUUAUAAUUUCCAACCAGAGAGAGAGAAGGCACCAACAGAUCACCAGCUUUCCUUCUUCUGCCUCAGCCUCAGUCCAGAUCAAAGAAGAAAACGACCUCCUUGAACCCCACGAACCGAUUGCGAAAAAUCUGGUUGGAGACCAGAACCAGAGCCCCGGCGUGACUUUGUGAACGUCCCGGUCCCCCUUGUCCAGGGAAGUGAAUCCGGAUCGGCACCGGAUCUCCGAUCUCAAUGGGAAAGGACGCUUUUCGGAAAGCCACCGAGUCCAAAAGUUGGGUUUCAGGGGUAAGGGACCAAGAAAAGCGGGACCUGAGCUCUUCUUUUCAAUGCACAGAUACGGCUUGGGUCUAGAGAGAAGAAAAGUCGGGUUUGGUUGUAUGGCACAGAAGACGUCUUCCCUGGUUUCCUUCGGCUCCGAAUUUCUCCCGACGCCGAGCUCCAUGAGAAGAGCGUUUGAAAGCCUUGCCAAAAGAUGGGCAGAAGACAAAGAAGCCUCCUAAAAAUCAUCUAGAAGGUCAGGGGUUCACAGACUGAACUAAAGAGGUUUAUAUUCCAGUAAUGAUGUUGAAGAUUGGAAGUUGUAACCCAGAUCGCUGAGAGCCGAUUGGAGCCGAUCUCUGACCAAAGUCUGCUAAGACCUUUUAACGGCAUCAGUGUGAAGCGGAAAGGCAUCAGCUUCCCUCAAAUUGCCCUUGGACUACAACUUCCAUCAUCCCCCACCCUCUGAGAAAUUCUUCAGUGGAAACGUCUUCCCCGUUGAAGUGAAGAAGAAUGGCUUCUGAAGUGACUGAUCAGGCAAGGGACUUUAAUAAAGGAACACAGCUAAGUUCUUCAACGGUGAAGUUCAUAGCGUUGGUAGUAGCUCUUACCUCUCUUGAUUCAACCGAGGAGUUUUGCAUUUUAUACCCGCUGUACAUGCCUUACACAUCCCAGUAUUCCAGUAUUAACAGUACAAAAAUCUGAACAAAAAUCCAUCAGUGAUACCUUUUA
Long non-coding RNA from Sceloporus undulatus (fence lizard), 1649 nucleotides. RefSeq lists it as uncharacterized. The transcript has 4 exons. The record is from RefSeq and is a predicted model, not a curated record. NCBI's taxonomy places the organism in Eukaryota, Metazoa, Chordata, Lepidosauria, Squamata, Phrynosomatidae.